UAUCAAACUUAGUGGCGCACGGGUGCGUAACGCGUAUGCAACCUACCUUCAACUGGGGAAUAGCCCCUCGAAAGAGGGAUUAAUACCCCAUAGUAAUUAGAUAAGGCAUCUUAUUUAGUUUAAAGUUCCGGCGGUUGAAGAUGGGCAUGCGUGACAUUAGCUAGUUGGUGAGGUAAUGGCUCACCAAGGCUACGAUGUCUAGGGGUUCUGAGAGGAUGAUCCCCCACACUGGUACUGAGACACGGACCAGACUCCUACGGGAGGCAGCAGUAAGGAAUAUUGGUCAAUGGACGCAAGUCUGAACCAGCCAUGCCGCGUGAAGGAUGACGGCCCUAUGGGUUGUAAACUUCUUUUGUACGGGAAUAAACCCUUCUACGUGUAGAAGGCUGAAUGUACCGUAAGAAUAAGGAUCGGCUAACUCCGUGCCAGCAGCCGCGGUAAUACGGAGGAUCCAAGCGUUAUCCGGAUUCAUUGGGUUUAAAGGGUGCGUAGGCGGAUUUGUAAGUCAGUGGUGAAAGCCUGCAGCUCAACUGCAGAACUGCCAUUGAUACUGCAAGUCUUGAGUACACUUGACGUGGGCGGAAUGUGUCAUGUAGCGGUGAAAUGCUUAGAUAUGACGCAGAACACCGAUUGCGAAGGCAGCUCACGAAAUUGUAACUGACGCUGAGGCACGACAGCGUGGGGAUCAAACAGGAUUAGAUACCCUGGUAGUCCACGCCGUAAACUAUGAAUACUCGAUGUUGGCGAUAUACUGUCAGCGUCUA
Molecule: ribosomal RNA, 764 nt
Filed under: uncultured Bacteroidota bacterium
Lineage: Bacteria; Pseudomonadati; Bacteroidota
Description: bacterial SSU rRNA
Rfam family: Bacterial small subunit ribosomal RNA
Source: RNAcentral